CAAUCGUUAUUUCACUGAAUGAACUCAAUGCAUCUGGCUCUUGUUUUGUUGGCCAUAUGUUUAAUACCACAGACUAGCUUUUCAUACGAGCUUCAAGAUACAAUUCACACUUUGAGAGAGGAGAACAUGUACUUAUAUCACAGAGUGAGAAACCUUACGCAGACUCUGCGAGAGCUGAGAAAACUUCUGGAUCACUCACAUGAGUCUGCUGUGGAUCAUGAAAGUGACAAAUUGCAUGCCUGAAAUGAAUGGAUUAAGAAGGGUAUCAGCACAGAGAUUCGUCUCAUGUUAGAACAAGCUUUCUGUUCUUCAUGCCAAGGCUGAUUUAUAUUCCCUAGGAGAAAUUCUUCUUGUUCUGUCAAGCUUCACUUGGAUUGGGAUUCUUUCCAUGUAAAUAUGGUCAUAAUAUCCUAACCUAACCUUCUUUUUUAAACUUUUUGUUGACUCAUAUUAAUCAGAGAGGCUCAUGCUAAUGGAUUGCUAAUAUUAGUUAACUACAAUAGUUAAACAAGCAGCACUUCUAAAAUGUCUACAGCAUAUAUGAAUCUGUUUAAAUUUUAAC
This is a long non-coding RNA of Carassius auratus (goldfish), 562 nucleotides long. RefSeq lists it as uncharacterized. Lineage: Eukaryota; Metazoa; Chordata; Actinopteri; Cypriniformes; Cyprinidae. The transcript has 3 exons. The record is from RefSeq and is a predicted model, not a curated record.